Molecule: long non-coding RNA, 1263 nt
Organism: Gasterosteus aculeatus (three-spined stickleback)
Lineage: Eukaryota; Metazoa; Chordata; Actinopteri; Perciformes; Gasterosteidae
Source: Ensembl
GGGCAGGUAGCUCUGUUGCCUGGUGACGGUACAUGCAGCGGUAAGGGACAGUAGAGAGGGUCAGUCUAAAAAGACCAGCCUCGUUUACCUGUCAUAGAAGAGACAUACACAUCAUCACUUCUCUUUCAAAAUGGCCAAAGAGGUGGGAGGUUGGUGUGUGUUUUUUUUUUCUCUCUGUGUGUCGGUGUUACGGAAUUGUCAUUGGCUGAAAAGGGUCGCAUGGAUGGAGAUUUGUACAGAAGCGACCUGCUGUUGUUAGAUUGGAGCUAAAGUCCAGACGUUUCACUUUAUUUUUUUACAUUUACAUUUAUCAAUUGAAAACAUAAUUUGUUUACGCAAUUGCUUGUUCAGUUGAGUUGUUUUGUGUCACAGAAUCAUUGAUAAUUCUCCUGUUUUUUUCAGUUGAAGAUGUGUGUAGGACUGCAGAAAAAUUUAGCUGUCCAUCCCUCACAAAAGAACACAAUGUAAGUUUCUAAACAUAUUGUUUAUGUUUGUCCAAAAGCUCAUUCUUUCUGGGAUGGACUCACUUUGUUCACCUCUUGCCAGCUCUAUCUGUUCUUUUUUGUCCAUCUGCCCAUCCUUUGAAGAGUCUAUUGACCCCCUGUAACACGAGUCUAUUUGUGUGUCAAUCUGUGAAUACUGAAUACGGCCUGUGUGCGUCUAUCCGCUUUUUUCUACACCUGAUUCAUGCGUCAACAAUUCAAUGGCCUUUUCUGCAGAACAGACGGUGUGUUUGUAAAUACAGUGGAAGACAUCGACCGAUUCCUCAAUUGGUUUCUCCCCCCUUUUCUCAUCUGGGCCCUGUAGAGUUGCGUCAUGCAAGUGGAGUUUACAAAACCAGAAGGAGGAGGGCUUGGCUUUGCUUUGAUCGGGGGAACAAACGGCAGCUUGCUUAGAGUGAAGGAAAUCUGCUCCGGUGGGGUCGCCGAGCAGGAUGGUCGGCUGAAAGUGGGAGAUAUUGUAUUAGAGGUAAACGGAGUGAUUGUGUCGGGACUGAGCCACAGUAAGGUGGUGGAUAUCCUACGUAAAGCUGAGGGCACUGUGCAGCUCACCAUCAGCAGAGACACUCUGCCCCUGACAUACUCUGAGUCGCCCACACCGCCCAACACGUCCACUCAGACCGCAGCUAUUUCAGCUGAGCAGCCGGCUCCGGUGUCCGACCCUGAUAACUGUCCCUUUCCUGACGCCGUGCUGAAUAAGCCAGUUGAGCGCCCCCAUGGUGAGACCUCUGACAACUGUCCUUUCUGUUAUUGUGAUGUUUAG